Molecule: long non-coding RNA, 3507 nt
Organism: Triplophysa rosa
Lineage: Eukaryota; Metazoa; Chordata; Actinopteri; Cypriniformes; Nemacheilidae
Exons: 3
Source: RefSeq, a predicted model, not a curated record
CUUCAUUCAGCGUUGAGCUCUUUGUGGAGACAAAAAGGGGGAGGAGACACAGAGGAGCUGUUGCUGGGAUUCAGGAUGUUGGCCAAUCACGGUGAAGCUUGGCUAUAGGCAGCCCAUGUAGACGCAACAGCUUUUGCCGCGAGAAGAGCGCACACUGUGGGAUUAGAGACAUAACAGCAGAAUGGGACCGGGUUGGACCUGCGUGGUUUCGGCGGGUGGGGCUUCCUUGGUCGCGGUUCUUGGGCUCUCCCUGUUCUUCGUGGACGUUGCUCGGUGGCUUUGGUCGGGGUCACUGAGUGCAGCUAUGACACGUCAGAGGAUAUCUGGUCCUCCCGGCUGAGCCUGGUUUCUCCCGAGGGUUUUUUUUCUCCAUUUAUUCAUCAUUGGAGUUUGGGUUCCUCGCCACAGCAGUGCAGUGUUGGCUUGCUCACCGGGAGACUGCAUUUAUUUAUUUAUUCAUUUAUUUAUUAGAUAUUAUUUAUUAUAAUGAUCUUGCUUGGUCUAUAAACACCAUACACUGUGCUGUUUUACCUUUCUGUGUUUUUCUUAUUUGCUCCUGUAAAGCUGCUUUGGAACAAUGCACAUUGUGAAAAGCGCUAUAUAAAUAAAAUUGAAUUGAAUUGAAUUGGUCCUGAGCUGGUUUAGGACCAUCUUAAAUCAGCUCAGCACCAGCUUAAAGUCACCAUGAAACACAAGUAGCGAUUUACUUCUUACCCAUAUCGUGACGUAUAUCUGAGUGAAACGGCUUCUGAAAUUAGAAAAAAAUGUAGGGCGGGGCUUUAUUUUGCCCUUAUUGGUUUGUUGUAAGUUGGGCCUGGAGGGGUGGGCUAAAAAUGCCUGGCCAUUGGACAACCUAGUCCAACCUCUUUUUUGGUGCUUAUAUGGUGAAGAGUUGUUGUUGGGGGGGAAGAGAGCUUAAUGUUUUUAAUUAAAGAUUAAAUGAAUAAAAAAAUGAAUGGUGUGCACGGAUAAAUCAUUUAUAAUAAUCACUGCAACACUGUGUAAAACGCUAAGAAUUUGAUUUCAUGGUGACUUUAAACCAGCACUUGACCAGCUAAGGACCAGCACAUGCAGCUUAAACCAGCACAAACCAGCUACCAUGCUUCAAAACCUACCUAACCAGCAUAUGUUAGUUUUUUGGCACAAAUUGAUACAUAAAUGUGAUCUCCUAUGAAAAGACCCUGUUUUCAGGUUUUCUGAGAAGCAGAUUUAACCUCAUUGUUGAGAAACACGUGAUAUUCAAUUUUGUUGAAUCUUUUCUAUAGGGAAUGGUCUAUAUUUUCACUAAUAAUCAGUCUUCUGAAACGUCGCUCUGUGUUUUCUAUUAACAUACUGUCUUAUUCAAGCAACUUGUAAAAGUGGAGCUUCUCUGAAUGUGUAUCCAGGUCAUCCAUCUGUGCCAGAAAACACACUUUCAAAUCUGCCGACUCAUUGUCAGCCAUCAGCAUCUCAGUUCAGCCAGUGGUUUGCCAAAACAUUUUAAUACUUUAAUUACUUAAUAGUCCUCCAAUAAAGGUAAUUACAGGAAAUAUAGUCAUUUGAUUAAAAAGGCUCUCACUGUUAUAAGUAAUUUGUCUGAUUUACAGUAGGCAUGUCUUUUCAAAGCAUCAUUUUACCGAACAGGCAAAACCGUCUAUCACUCUAAUACAAAAUCCACUUACCGGAUUUACAAAGCGCUGUGUCCACUGGCCAAUCCCUCUAACAGCUUUAAAAUAUCAACACAGCACAUUUAUCUCCCAUUCUUUGUCCUCCUCAUUUCCUGAUCUAUGCUAACUAUUUACGUAAAGCCUUUGUUUCAGCGUUAAAGCUCUUUUGUUGUGAUGCCGUUUUGUGGGUCUCUACAAAGUAUUGGAUUUUCAAAUGCAUGCAAAUCCAGGUAGAAUCUGAAGUUAAUCCAACAGAUUUGUUAUUUUCUGGUGAAACACUUGUGUUUCCACUCAGUGGAUCCAAAAGGGCUAAUUCUGUAUUAUUCACAUGUCCUUAUUUUUCUCCGGACCUGUAUUAUUUGCAAUGUUUCUCAGAACGUGACUCAAGGAAUGUGUUAUAAAGAUGUUUAGGCCACACAGGUUGGAUGUCAAUGAUGCUAAACACUGUUGAUUCUUGUGUGAAAAAGACUUAUCGACCACUUAAUCAACCAGAGGGGUUUGUCUGAUAGACAUGAACCGCAAUCACAGGUGUAAACAUGAGACAGACCACCACUCUCCACAGGAAGUGAAUGUAAGGGGGAAACCUCAAAGACAGGCCUUGUGGUAUUUAUAGGUUUAGGUCAAUUACUCACAAAUUAAGUCAGGUGUUUAAUAGGGAUGUAACAAUAUUACCGAUAUUGUGUUAUCGCAAUAGUAAAAUUGUCUCAAUAUUAUCGUGGUCACAUGACUGUAUGAAACGAUAGGUCUUCCGGGCCUAACAUAGAGAAUGUUAGAAAAAAUAAUAGAUGUUACCUUUGUCAAGGUCUUUCUGGUGCAAUUAUUUUAUAAAAGGGAUUUUUAGGUCAUUUUACCCAUCUCAUACUAGAACUCAUACCUCUAGCAACUAAGAAAUUAGAAUUCUUAUGGUACGUUUCCAAGUCAUCAUUUGUUCUUUUAAAUAUAGCAAAAAAUAUCGUGCCGUGGACAUUAUAUCGAGAUAUUAUUGUACAGUGAGAUUUUGAUGUUGUUACAUCCCUAGUGUUUAAUGUAUGUGGGCACCCAUCUUGAGGCGUGAUGUCACAAAUAAUUUUAGCGCCUAACAAGCCGAACAGACUUAAUCUUGAUUUGUUGUGUCUAGACUGUUUACAGAAAUCUAUGGCUAGUAAGACAAACAAUAAAGUAGUAAUAAAAAAAGUAGCAAAUAAAGUUCUCACACAUUUGAGUAAAAUUGUGUUUUUGUCUUUGCUACAAAAAUAUAUAUAUUUCUAACCCAAGGGAAAGAUUUUAGAAAAAAAACAGUGUUUUUCAUGCAAACAACAUGCAUUUUUUAUACACUCUCUCUUUAAACCUUUAAAGGGGUCAUGUGGCGCGAAUACGUGUUUUUCUGUUUCUUUGGUGUGUUAUAAAUUGCCCACGCAUGUAUUAGACACGUAAAAUUGCAAAAAUUAAAGUGUUGGAACAAAAGAUGCAUUCUAUCUAAAAGUGAAUGCUCACCCAGACCUGUCUGAAACGCCUCGUGUAACCACACCUCCACAAAUCUACGUCAGUUCAUGGUGUGAUUUGACUAAGACCGCCCAAAUUUAUAUGCAAGUAAGGUGGGCGUACCUGUCAGUGCAAUUGCUUUGGAACCUGAUGUUCCAAAUAUGGUAAGAGGCGUUACAUUUCCUUCACAUGCUUGCAGUGUUCGACCAAUCACUACGCACUGGUUAACUGGCCAAUCAUAGCACACCUCGCUUUUCAGAGCGAUGAGUUUAGUAAAAAACGCGCGUUUCAGAGAGGCGGAGCAAAGAGGAGAUACAAACAUGCACGGUAUGUGGAAAAUACAGCGUUUUUGAAACUUAACUUGUUUAUACACAUUUAAUUCUAAAACAAACGCUAAUAU